AGUAAAUAUCUGUUAUAACAAAUUCUCGGGCUGAGCAUGGACCCAGGACCAAGAACUUUUCUUUCCUUGCGAAAAUUUAAUCUUUAUGGUUCAUGACUUCACGAGGGCCGUUCAGCCGAUUAAGGCCCAUUUUAAAGUUUAGCCCAUCAGGGCCCACUCAAAUCUGUAACCCAUAAUAACAUGUUCAUUGUAUAAUGGGCUUAGAAUAUUCAUACCCGGCCUUAAUUAUAUGUCUCUCAACAGCCUCGAUCUUCGCGCCCAAAACUCAAUCAAAAAUCUCCCUCUUCACAGACUCAGCAGGCUCCGUGUGUAUAUACAUACAUGAUACAUACAAAUAUUCAAUAUAACAGUAUUGGUUCCAGCGCUCGAAAUCGCUUCUGGUGUAGGUUAUUGGAUUAUGUAACCAUGUUGGCAGAAUGUGCAAUUCUAUUUUUAUUUAAAGGACGGAUCAAUAGGGAGUAAAAGAUGUUCCGUAAUCUUUGUUGUUUGGAGUAUAUGUUGCUGUCGGAAAAAUGUUUCACAUAUAUAGGGAAUUAAUCUGCCGAUGCAUAGAGGUGGAAUAAUCUAAAUUUUAAGAGGACAUGGUGAAUAUACUGCUAAAGAUUGAAUGGCAAAAGGUGAUAUUAAGUUGUUGAUGUACACAUGUGAAAUUUGUAUUGAAGGGCAUUAGAUACUUCAACACUAGCAGCUAGAAGAAGAAGAAUAUGUUGAAAAGGAAGAAAAGCCAGAAGCUUAUGGAAGAAGGGUAAGGUGCAUUUAAUAGUCGUAAAUAUCAAGUAAAUAGAAUGAAUGGUGUUUUUCCUAGUAAAGCCAUAUCUGAUUCUUAUAUUCCUUUGUCAUUAUUCCUGUCUUUUUAUAUCAUACUGUAGUUUUCAACAUUCGAAACGCCGAAAUAUUCUAUGACAACUGUACUUGUUAAUUUAACACUAAUAUUACUAAAAAGGUGGUAUUUUGAUGCCGAGUAAAGUAUUGGUCUUAUAAUUAGCUCUUGCUUUAACCUAAUUAAGUAUAUCUUAGGGUCUGUAGGAGAAAAUGAUUAAAGGAGGAAACCCAUCAAUGGGAUUCUGAUUUAUGUCCAUGAAAGUAAAUGUUUUUCUUCUUUAAUGUUUAGUUUUGCAGAGCACUAAAAAUCCAAAGUAUGGGGCCAGAUGUAGGCAGUAUAUUUUCUUUCUUUUGGAGAGUAGGAGGCUACUUGAAACUCUGGGUGCGCAUUAUAUAUAUACACAUGAUAUGAUGUGCCAUCACAAUAAUAUUUUCUCUUAUGCUAAUCCUGCUUAUCUCCCAACUUGUUUAUUUGCAUCCUAACAACUUUCUUCAUCUACUCUUUUGCUUUUCCGCAAUUUGUUUACUUGUUUAUUUCUUCUCUUUUUUCUAUAUUCCAACUUGCUGUGUAAUCUUUUUUCUGGAUGCUCGUGUUGUCGAGUCCCUCAUCUCCCCCACCCCCCAAUAGAUAUAUUAUGCAGAACAAAUAAAUUUAUUCGACCUGGUAAUAUUCCAGUCAGGUGAUGAAUCAAGCUGUAGGGGCAGUAUCACACUUAUAGAUUUUAUUAAUUGUGCUCUACUAGUACUUACGUAAGAAAUUAAUAUAUUCGUUCGACACCAUUUAUUUGGCCAUGAGCACAGGGAUACCUAGUUGCAUGCAUGAUCAUUAAACUUUAAAGUAUAGUGGUAAUUGAUUUAAAUCCAAGCUCAUUUAAACGGUAUGGCUUAGCUCAGAUGCAGCAAGAACUUAAACACAAGUCUGAUACAGUUUUUGUACUUGAUAAAGUUUUACUCUCUGUUUUUCCCACUAAGCCCCCCACUAGAUUUAAAUUACAUUUCUGGGUCCGUCCUUGUUAGCAUGUCCAAUCACAUUCUAUGAAGAUGGUACAGUGCACACUACCCUCAUAGUAGUAGGUCUGUUGCAUGUUAGGAUAUGCACGGUGCGGUUUGACGCGAUUUUGACACAAAAGCGAACCGUAACCAGUAACGUGUAAUUUCUAAAAUUAGGAACCAAAACUGAAUCAAACAUCUUCGGUGAAUAACUACGGUUUUGAUUUAAAACGGUGCGAAUUUUGGUUUUAAAAGUUAGAACUUAGAACCACUCGCAUCAUAUUUAGAACUGUUCUUAUAAUUAGCGCUACCUCGGCAAAAAGAGCGAACCACCUGAAGCCCUGACCCAUGGCUAAUAGCAGAAGAAUGCAUUAGAAACACACAUAUAUGCAUAUGAAUGCAGAACAACUAAACAGGCUUCAUGAAAUCCAUGUAUUUACCCUUGUUUGCCAACACAUCAACAUUUGAUACUUUUCGUAAUUAUUUUUCGACCAUAGGAAGUCAAAAGUGUUGAGAACUUGAGAGAGCCACAAGAAGUGGAAGAAAAAUCUAUUGCUAAGAAAGCUACGUACAAACUUUUGACCAUUGAUUAAAAAAAAGUUUUUGAUUCUGAGUUACUUUAUUACCCGUUUUUCUAGUUAAAUCUAUGACAAUAAUAAUUAUUCUUCUGGUUUUCGCCAGUAUUUAUCCAUCAAUAUUCAAUAAUAAUAGCAUUACAAGAUUGAGAUUCCUUUCACCUUUACUGAUUUACCUUGUUUAUGUGCCAUGUCAAGCAAUUGGAUGGAGAGAAACGUUUCUUGAUUCAGUUUGUUGAUUAUGAUAUAUAUUGGUAUUUGAUUCCACUGGAUGUAUAGAUUGUGCUUAGAUGCAACGUUACAUAAAUUGUUUAGUAGUAGCCUACUUUUUUUAUAACAAGAAGUCGAUGUAAGUGAUGACCUUUUUCAUGAAAUCUUACACUAUACAACGUAACUGAUAACCUUCUCUCGGUAACAAAAUGUUGAUGACUUUGGAGAUCUGGAAUGAGGGAUCACAACAGUGAAAUUUGGUCAUUUGAUUUAGAAUUUAUAUUGCUUUCAAUGGCCUUAUAUAAAUAUUUGCAGAUAAUGGUGUAAUAUACAAUGGGUGAAAUUGCCGCCCCCAUUAUUUACCUCUGGAGUCUUAAGUCUCAACUGAGUGAGGAAGUGACAAGAGUUGUCAAUUUUUUGUUGUUUUAAUAGAGUUGGUUAGUUGACACGUUGUAACCACUAGCUCAGGUGUUUACUUUGUCUUUAUUUGGUGUUGAUAUAUAAUUAGCACGAGUGAGUGAUUACAAAGUCAUGGAAAUCGGGAAUUAGAACUAAUGGGGUUGUGGAUAUUGGAAAUUAGAAUUAAUUGGUUGACCUACUGAUUUAGGAUUUAUCGGAAAUUGUUUUGAUAAAUUGAGAAUUUAUAGUCAAAUCAGCGUGUAAUUGGGAUUUAUUUUUUUAAUAAGCCGGGGAUUUUUAGAAUAUUGUGAUUGUUAUAAUGCAUUUCUUGUUAUUAUCUUACUUUUUCAUUUUUGAGUUGGAAAAUUCUUGUAGGCUAAAAGUUCUGCGGGCAUUUUGAGAUGUGAACUAACUACAAAUUAUUUUCACAGAAAUGUAAUGUUUUGCGGUAUUUGGUAAAAGAAUAUAUGUUAUUCUAAAUUAUACUAGGUUGUUUAAGGGUACUUAUUGGACCGAAGCCUGUACUUGUUUGUAUAACUAAUUCUUCUUUUGAAAUUUUGUUAAAUUUGUGUGUCUUACUGAUUUUAGUGAGGUGUUUUUCUGGCAAGCAUUUGUUUUCGAUUUUCCUUGUAAAUGGAUCAACAAAAAUUAUGGGAAUAAAGAAACAUAGAGCUAAAAGAUUAGAAUAAAGUGUGCAUUCUGAAAAGAGUAACAAAAUUUCAACCCCAAGAAUUUUGGAAUAUAUAAAGCUAUAUAGGUAGGUAUAUAUGUGUAGUGAAACAUAUUGUUUGUGGUUAUUAAUAUAGA
Molecule: long non-coding RNA, 3803 nt
Organism: Daucus carota subsp. sativus
Lineage: Eukaryota; Viridiplantae; Streptophyta; Magnoliopsida; Apiales; Apiaceae
Exons: 4
Source: RefSeq, a predicted model, not a curated record